RNAcentral lists this ribosomal RNA (477 nucleotides) under Treponema sp. oral taxon 236. RNAcentral's name for it is "bacterial SSU rRNA". It matches the Rfam family "Bacterial small subunit ribosomal RNA", at positions 29 to 488 of the family's 1533-position model. Lineage: Bacteria; Pseudomonadati; Spirochaetota; Spirochaetia; Treponematales; Treponemataceae. The record is from RNAcentral.
AACGAACGCUGGCGGCGCGUCUUAAGCAUGCAAGUCGAACGGCAAGAGAGAAGCUUGCUUCUCUCCUAGAGUGGCGGACUGGUGAGGAACACGUGGGUAAUCUACCCUUAAGAUGGGGAUAGCUGCUAGAAAUAGCAGGUAAUACCGAAUACACUCAAAGUUUCACAAGAGGUUUUGAGGAGAGGAAGCUACGGCUUCGCUUGAGGAUGAGCUUGCGUCCCAUUAGCUAGUUGGUGAGGUAACGGCCCACCAAGGCGACGAUGGGUAUCCGGCCUGAGAGGGUGAACGGACACAUUGGGACUGAGAUACGGCCCAAACUCCUACGGGAGGCAGCAGCUAAGAAUAUUCCGCAAUGGACGGAAGUCUGACGGAGCGACGCCGCGUGGAUGAAGAAGGCUGAAAAGUUGUAAAAUCCUUUUGUUGAUGAAGAAUAAGGGUGAGAGGGAAUGCUCAUCUGAUGACGGUAAUCGGCGAAUA